ACUCCUACGGGAGGCAGCAGUAGGGAAUCUUCCACAAUGGACGAAAGUCUGAUGGAGCAACGCCGCGUGAGUGAUGAAGGUUUUCGGAUCGUAAAACUCUGUUGUAAGGGAAGAACACGUACGAGAGGUAAUGCUCGUACCUUGACGGUACCUUACGAGAAAGCCACGGCUAACUACGUGCCAGCAGCCGCGGUAAU
RNAcentral lists this ribosomal RNA (197 nucleotides) under uncultured bacterium. RNAcentral describes it as "partial 16S ribosomal RNA". It matches the Rfam family "Bacterial small subunit ribosomal RNA", at positions 335 to 524 of the family's 1533-position model. The record is from RNAcentral.